Non-coding RNA from Pelobates cultripes (western spadefoot toad), 1296 nucleotides. Lineage: Eukaryota; Metazoa; Chordata; Amphibia; Anura; Pelobatidae. The record is from the annotation of a GenBank genome assembly.
CAGCUCGUGAAAACCCCAAAUCCACAAUCUCAGUAAAUUAGAAUAUUGUGAAAAGGUGCAAUAUUCUAGGCUCACAGUGUCCCAUUCUAAUCAGCUAAGUAAGCCAUAAAACUUGCAAAGGGUUUCUGAGCCUUUAAAUAGUCUCACAGUCUGGUUCAGUAGGAAUCACAAUCAUGGGGAAGACUGCUGACCUGACAGUUGUGCAGAAAACCUUAAUUGACACCCUCCAUAAGGAGGGAAAGCCUCAAAAGGUAAUUGCGAAGGAAGUUGGAUGUUCCCAAAGUGCUGUAUCAAAGCACAUUAAUAGAAAGUUAUGUGGAAGGGAAAAGUGUGGAAGAAAAAGGUGCACAAGCAGCAGGGAUGACUGCAGCCUGGAGAGGAUUGUCAGGAAAAGGCCAUUCAAAAGUGUUGAGGACUUUCACAAGGAGAGGACUGAGGCUGGAGUCAGUGCAUCAAGAGCCACCACACACACACGGAUCCUGGACAUGGGCUUCAGCUGUCGUAUUCCUCUUGUCAAGCCGCUCCUGAACAACAAACAACAUCAGAAGCGUCUUACCUGGGCUAAAGAAAAACAGACCUGGUCUGUUGCUCAGUGGUCCAAAGUCCUCUUUUCUGAUGAGAGCAACUUUUGCAUCUCAUUUGGAAACCAAGGACCCAGAGUCUGGAGGAAGAAUGGAGAGGCACACACUGUCCAGUGUGAAGUUUCCACAGUCUGUGUUGAUUUGGGGAGCCAUGUCAUCUGCUGGUGUUGGUCCACUGUGCUUCAUUAACUCCAGGGUCAACACAGCCAUCUACCAGGAGAUUUUGGAGCACUUCAUGCUUCCUUCCGCAGACGAGCUUUAUGGGGAUGCUGACUUCAUUUUCCAGCAGGACUUGGCACCUGCCCACACUGCCAAAAGCACCAAAGCCUGGUUCAAUGACCGUGGGAUUACUGUGCUUGAUUGGCCAGCAAACUCGCCUGACCUAAACCCCAUAGAGAAUCUAUGGGGCAUUGCCAAGAGAAAGAUGAGAGACAUGAGACGAAACAAUGCAGAAGAGAUGAAGGCCACUAUUGAAGUAUCCUGGUCUUCCAUAACACCUCAGCAGUGCCACAGGCUGAUAGCUUCCAUGCCACGCCCCAUUGAGGCAGUAAUUGCUGCAAAAGGGGCCCAAACCAAGUACUGAGUCCAUUUGCAUGCUUAUACUUUUCAGAGGUCUGAUAUUGUUCUAUGUACACUCCUUGUUUUAUUGACUGCAUGUAAUAUUCUAAUUUACUGAGAUUGUGGAUUUUGGGUUUUCAUGAGCUAUAAGCCAUAA